Pseudophryne corroboree (corroboree frog) is the source of this 1807-nucleotide long non-coding RNA. RefSeq lists it as uncharacterized. The record is from RefSeq and is a predicted model, not a curated record. The transcript is spliced from 4 exons. NCBI's taxonomy places the organism in Eukaryota, Metazoa, Chordata, Amphibia, Anura, Myobatrachidae.
UGCCAUGAGGCCAGGAGAUCGUUGGGGAGAGCAUGAGGAGUGAAGGGAAAGGGGCCCCUGCGCAUGCUGUGACAGUUAGUCCCCCACAAACGGUACCUGUGAGAGACGCAGCAUCCCGGCGGGCAGCUCCAGUGACAGAGCAGAGAGCAGGGUACGGAGACGCUGGCAGAGAGGUAGUCUCGGUGACAGUGAGGCUGGAGAACGCUGCAGGCAGACAAAUAGCCCCUGGCGGAGAGGCAGUCCCGGUGACGGCGAGGUUGGACAGCCAGAGAGCUGUGCAGUAGAGGCGCAGGCAACCAGAGUAAGAGGGAGAACGGUGAGGAGUUAGAUCCUGUCAGUGCUGAGGACUCACUGAUUGGUACAAGAACUACAACAAGAGGUACCUACACUAUCUGUCUUACAAUAAUCAGACAGAGGGGGUGGAGAGGCAGAGCGUAGAGGAACAAGAGGAACAGGAGGAUUCGGGGGAGCUACCAGAGCAGGAAAACAACCUCAAACAUACAGCUAAUUAAGAACUAUCUUCAGGGUGAAGAAGACCAAGAGGUCCUGCAAGUGAUGAUAUGGCCCCAGCAGUGUCCUGAUCUCAACAUCAUCGAGUCUGUCUGUGAUUACAAGAAGAGACAGAAGGAUUUGAGCAAUCCUACAUCCACAGAAGAGCUAUGGACUUGGCCUGCAAGCAUUUGUGAAGUAUGCAUUUGUUAAGGAUGUUUUUUAAGGAUGCAGUUAGAACCGGAACUGAAACCCAUCUCUCCUUUCUUCACAGGAUGAAGUUAGAACCGGAGUUUGAACGGGAUUUGGACGUUGGACAACACUAGAAUCUCUAAUUAAAUUUAGUUCCACAAACACUGCAACUCAGGAUCAUUCAUUAUAUGUCCUCUCCUCACUUCUGCCAUGAGAACACCAGGACCAAUGCCUGCUACCCCUCCGUCCAAGAACAUCAUGACUGCCCCCGGACCUACCCCUCAAGCUGAGCAGGGAACUGAGGGGAGCGAGCAUCAGGACCAGGCCCAGCAGCAGGGUCAUUUCCAUUGCACAUUAGUGUGCUCCCCACAUUCUCAUACUCACCCGCACUGCUCCCAUGAGACCAGGUCAUUUAUAAAUUUCUCAAAAUAAUGUUAUUACAGUUUUUCUCCAUCUGUUGAUUCCUGCAAAUGUGUUUUCUCUUCUUUUUCUUCUUACAGCAUACUUCCACCCCACUGUAUGCUAUUCCUGUAAUGUUUACCUCCACUGAUUGCACACCCUUCCAGCAGCAACCUGUGCAGUGCGCCCCACAUGGCUUCCUCGGAUGGUGUCUCCGUGGGCAGGGUGUGCUUCAUUUGGAUCUUUCCGUGCAGGGUAUAGCAUACUACUAAACACGUGUCAGUUUGCCCAUACAUGCAUUUAGCCCUUGUAUGGUUCAUAUCCCACAGUGUAACCUUCGUAGUGCGCCCAACAUGGCAGCUUCAUCUGGUGCACUUGUGGAUGGGAUGAAAAUUAUAUGGACCUGAUGGUUUUGUUGGAACCCUACUCUGAACUUUAGGACUCUGCAAUUUCCCCAUUUUGUGUUAUCUCUUCUAGGGGUAGACUAUUCCACCCUGGGUAAUCCUACACAGUGCGCCCAAGAUGGCUGCAGCACCUGGCACCUUGUGAGGGUGGAAUACACAACCCUUGGAAGUUAUUACCCAAAAUGCCUACACCAAUCAUGCAUUAUGCUUACUGUGUGCUCAAGGUUUUCUUUUGUCUGUGUGGCUUAUCUAUUGCUGUAUUACUUAAAUCUUUUGUAUUAUGUGCAUUGUUUUUGAUGUCUGUAAAGCACCUUGAGUCCUGU